AGCGGACGCUGGCGGCAGGCUUAACACAUGCAAGUCGAGCGGGCAUCCUUGUGGUGUCAGCGGCAGACGGGUGAGUAACGCGUGGGAACGUGCCCUUCGGUUCGGAAUAACUCAGGGAAACUUGAGCUAAUACCGGAUACGCCCUUUUGGGGAAAGGUUUACUGCCGAAGGAUCGGCCCGCGUCUGAUUAGCUAGUUGGUGAGGUUACGGCUCACCAAGGCGACGAUCAGUAGCUGGUCUGAGAGGAUGAUCAGCCACACUGGGACUGAGACACGGCCCAGACUCCUACGGGAGGCAGCAGUGGGGAAUAUUGGACAAUGGGGGCAACCCUGAUCCAGCCAUGCCGCGUGAGUGAUAACAGCCUUAGGGUUGUAAAGCUCUUUUCUCCGGGACGAUAAUGACGGUACCGGAGGAAUAAGCCCCGGCUAACUUCGUG
RNAcentral lists this ribosomal RNA (436 nucleotides) under uncultured bacterium. RNAcentral describes it as "partial 16S ribosomal RNA". It matches the Rfam family "Bacterial small subunit ribosomal RNA", at positions 29 to 507 of the family's 1533-position model. The record is from RNAcentral.